RNAcentral lists this ribosomal RNA (468 nucleotides) under uncultured bacterium. Its description in RNAcentral is "partial 16S ribosomal RNA". It matches the Rfam family "Bacterial small subunit ribosomal RNA", at positions 28 to 507 of the family's 1533-position model. The record is from RNAcentral.
GACGAACGCUGGCGGCGUGCUUAACACAUGCAAGUCGAACGGAAAGGCCCUGCAUUUGUGGGGUGCUCGAGUGGCGAACGGGUGAGUAACACGUGAGUAACCUGCCCUUGACUUCGGGAUAACUUCAGGAAACUGGGGCUAAUACCGGAUAGGAGCUCCUGCUGCAUGGUGGGGGUUGGAAAGUUUCGGCGGUUGGGGAUGGACUCGCGGCUUAUCAGCUUGUUGGUGGGGUAGUGGCUUACCAAGGCUUUGACGGGUAGCCGGCCUGAGAGGGUGACCGGCGACAUUGGGACUGAGAGACGGCCCAGACGCCUACGGGAGGCAGCAGUGGGGAAUAUGGCACAAUGGGCGGAAGUGUGAUGCAGCAACGCCGCGUGCGGGAUGACGGCCUUCGGGUUGUAAACCGCUUUCGCCUGUGACGAAGCGUGAGUGACGGUAAUGGGUAAAGAAGCACCGGCUAACUACGUG